Oryza barthii is the source of this 168-nucleotide non-coding RNA. The record is from Rfam. NCBI's taxonomy places the organism in Eukaryota, Viridiplantae, Streptophyta, Magnoliopsida, Poales, Poaceae.
UUUAGUUUUUGACUCUUCGUUUUAUCUAAAUUCUUUUUAUGAUUAGUAUUUAUAUUGUUAUUAGAUGAUAAAACAUGAAUACUACUUUAUAUGUGACUAUUUUUUAAUAAUUUUUUUAUAAAAUUUUCAAAUAAGACAAGAUGAUCAAACGUUAAACACAGAAACCUA